This 492-nucleotide ribosomal RNA is filed under the name uncultured bacterium. RNAcentral's name for it is "partial 16S ribosomal RNA". It matches the Rfam family "Bacterial small subunit ribosomal RNA", at positions 29 to 507 of the family's 1533-position model. The record is from RNAcentral.
AGUGAACGCUGGCGGUAUGCCUAACACAUGCAAGUCGAACGGCAGCACAGUAAGAGCUUGCUCUUACGGGUGGCGAGUGGCGGACGGGUGAGGAAUACAUCGGAAUCUACUUUUUCGUGGGUGAUAACGUAGGGAAACUUACGCUAAUACCUCAUACGACCUACGGGUGAAAGCAGGGGAUCUUCGGACCUUGCGCGAUUGAAUGAGCCGAUGUCGGAUUAGCUAGUUGGCGGGGUAAAGGCCCACCAAGGCGACGAUCCGUAGCUGGUCUGAGAGGAUGAUCAGCCACACUGGAACUGAGACACGGUCCAGACUCCUACGGGAGGCAGCAGUGGGGAAUAUUGGACAAUGGGCGCAAGCCUGAUCCAGCCAUACCGCGUGGGUGAAGAAGGCCUUCGGGUUGUAAAGCCCUUUUGUUGGGGAAGAAAAGCAGCAGGUUAAUACCCCGCUGUUCUGACGGUACCCAAAGAAUAAGCACCGGCUAACUUCGUG